This 497-nucleotide ribosomal RNA is filed under the name uncultured bacterium. Its description in RNAcentral is "partial 16S ribosomal RNA". It matches the Rfam family "Bacterial small subunit ribosomal RNA", at positions 28 to 507 of the family's 1533-position model. The record is from RNAcentral.
GAUGAACGCUGGCGGCGUGCCUAAUACAUGCAAGUCGAACGAACGGACGAGAAGCUUGCUGCUCUGAUGUUAGCCGCGGACGGGAGUGUAACACGUGGAUCACCUACCUGUAAGACUGGGAUAAGUUCGAGAAACCGGAGCUAAUACCGGAUAAUAUUUUGACCCGCAGGGUCCAUAAGUGAAAGACGUUCUUGCUGUAACUUAUAGAUGGAUCCGCGCUGCAUUAGCUAGUUGGUAAGGUAACGGCUUACCAAGGCAACGAUGCGUAGCCGACCUGAGGGGGUGAUCGCCCGCACGGGAAGGGAGACGCGCACAAUACUCCUACGGGAGGCCGCAGACGGGAACCGGCCGCAACGGGCGAAAGUCUGACGGAGUGAGGCCGCGUGAGUGAUGAAGGUCUUCGGAUAGGAAUACUCUGUUUUGAGGUAAGAACAUAUGUGUAAGUAACUGUAGACAUAGUGACGGUACCUAAUCAGAAAGCCACGGCUAACUACGUG